UUAAGCAUAUUAAUAAGCGGAGGAAAAGAAACUAACAAGGAUUCCCCCAGUAACGGCGAGCGAAGCGGGAACAGCUCAAAUUUGAAAUCUCCGGUGCCUGCACCGGCGAAUUGUAGUCUGUAGGGCCAGUUUCGCCCGAGACAGCGUCCCCAAAGUCGUCCUGGAAAGGCGAGCCGGAGAGGGUGAGAGCCCCGUACGCGGGGGCGCUGUCGAGGGUAAGAUCUGUGCCCGAAGAGUCGGGUUGUUUGGGAUUGCAGCCCAAAAUGGGUGGUAAACUCCAUCUAAAGCUAAAUACCGGCACGAGACCGAUAGCGAACAAGUACCGUGAGGGAAAGAUGAAAAGCACUUUGAAAAGAGAGUCAAACAGUACGUGAAACCGUCAGGGGGGAAACGAACGAGGUUGGUGCAGUGCUCGUGCAGGUUCAAGCCCGGCCGAGGGUUGCCGACGCGGCGGCGGAGACCGUCCCGUGCCGGCCGCCCGAGGCAGUGCCGUACUCCUCGCGAGCGCGGACCAGCGGCGGUUAGACCGGAGCGACAAGGCGACAGCGGAAGGUGAGUCGAUGAGGGCACGUCCCGCAUCGACAGCUUACAGCCCUGGCGUACGAUGCUCCGGUGCGACCGAGGAACAUGGGCAGCCCUUGCCCGCCGUGGCGCACGCCGCAUGGCGGGGCCUCCCGACGCGAGUGAACCGUGCGGUGUGGACUGCGUGCAGUGCUCACCGUGGCGGAGAUCUCGCGCCGGAGAGCGCCACUUGUGCGCCAUCGCCGCUGGUAGUCGGAUGGCCUCGUCCGACCCGUCUU
RNAcentral lists this ribosomal RNA (800 nucleotides) under Phyllospongia papyracea. Its description in RNAcentral is "partial large subunit ribosomal RNA". It matches the Rfam family "Eukaryotic large subunit ribosomal RNA", at positions 34 to 655 of the family's 3401-position model. The record is from RNAcentral. Lineage: Eukaryota; Metazoa; Porifera; Demospongiae; Dictyoceratida; Thorectidae.